This 1335-nucleotide long non-coding RNA is filed under the name Durio zibethinus. Its description in RNAcentral is "long non-coding RNA (DZIB_LNC002405)". Lineage: Eukaryota; Viridiplantae; Streptophyta; Magnoliopsida; Malvales; Malvaceae. The record is from RNAcentral.
CUAGAUCCCCCUAAGUCGAAACCCUUUAAAUCCCCAGUCAUUUUUGAAAAUAAGGGGAUCGGUCAGCUCUCAAACAAAAAGAAAAAAAACCCAUUUUCAAACACACAGCUACCCCUCAAAAUAAACAAACAAAUCUAGCCAAAAAAAAAAUGAAAACAAAAACCAAAAAAUAACACAGUCCUCACCGUAGGCGAGGAACCUCAGCGUCGAGCCACCUGCAAAAGCCAAGAAAUCAUCAGUUUCGUCGAAAAAAAAAAUAAGAAAAACCAAAAACUUUAAAACUCGAUCUACGCGAAUCAAGGCCGUUUUUGGUGAAAAGGAGGUCAGAUCCGUGCUCAGGGGGUCGAGAAGAUUUCGUGGGAGAAUUUUAGGGUUUUUUCGACCACCAGAGACGACGGAGGGCGACCGGCGAACGGCGGCGGCACCGACGGCCGGCCAGCGUGCGGCUGAAGAAGAAGAGAGAAGAAAAAAAAAGGGCUUUUUUUUUUCUGAAGACCGAAAAUAUGACGAAAAAAAUUUUUUUGACUUUUAUAUAAACUGUCAAUAGCCAAAACGACGUCGUUUCAAUAAAAGCCCAAAACGACGUCGUUUUAACCAAAGAAGGAUCCGCGCGUUGACCCGGACCCGACCCGGGGUCCGCGCACCCGACCCACGACCCGUUCCAGCCAGCCUUGAACCGGUUCAUACGAACCGCCAGUGGACCGGACUGAACUGGUCAGAUCGCCCGAACCGCCGAUCCAACUGUCGAACCGGUCAGACCGCCCGGACCAGCGUUGACUGGACCGUUGACCGGUCAGGUUCAGGUAAAAAAAAAAUUUUUUUGAAUUUUUUUUUAUUAUUUUUGUUAUUUUAAAUAUAUUUUUAUAUGUAUGCAUGAUAAAUUUAUAAAUUUGUUAGAAUGAAUGUUUAAUCAUUUUAAUAAUAAUAAAAUUAAAAACAAAUAAUAAUUAAAAAUAUAUUAAAAUGCUUUAAAAAAAUAACAAUAAUUUUUCCUGCUUAGAUGUUGGAGGGAAUAAAAAUAUUUUUCUAAAACAAUAAUUUCGCCUAGAUGUUGGGGAAUUAUUGUUAAUAAUUUUUCAUAAAUAAACAUAAAAAAUUGCUUCAAAUAGAAUUUUCACACGUGUCCUUAGGAUUUUUUUUUUUAGGACUUUGGAUUUCAAGGAUUUUGGAUUUCGGGGGGUUUUGGAUUUAAUGGAUUUUGGAUUUUUAGGGGUUUUAGAAACCUAGGAUUAAGAAAUAAUGCUUAAGGUUUCGUUUUUAAGAAAAUAUGAACAUCUCUGAAAAUUCCCAACAUCUAGGCAGAUUUUUGAAGCAAGUUCGAUUUUAAUAAUUUUU